Molecule: long non-coding RNA, 1590 nt
Organism: Anguilla anguilla (European eel)
Lineage: Eukaryota; Metazoa; Chordata; Actinopteri; Anguilliformes; Anguillidae
Exons: 4
Source: RefSeq, a predicted model, not a curated record
UAAACUUAUGAGAAUAAUAAAAGUAAGGCAGGUUGCAGUGUGGAGUUUCGUAGACGCCGUUUGCAAAACUUUAAUUCAUAGUAUUUCAUUGCAAAUAAUUAUUUAAUUACUCGUCGGAGACACAGCCCACUAUGAUAUGGUAACAGGCUUCUUUGUUGUUGUGCCUAGUCUAAUCGUUUUCAUUUAUUAGUACAUAUUUGCCUAGGCACUUGUGGUAUUAUAUCUAAUUAGCUAGAUAGAUAACCUCUAAUAUAUGCAGCGAAGGCAAGCUAACAUCUAUACUUACUUAAAAGUCGAUGUCAGGUUAGUUUAAAUGGAUUAUAUGAUCUCCGUUCCAAACAAAAGACGACACGAAGACCUUGAAGACCGGGGGCAUUUUCAUCAAGCUAAAAGAUUAUGCAACGGUUUCGGAAGCUGUGGUCAGGUUGAAUAUGGCGCGGUGGUGGACAGCCCGAUGGAUACACGGGAGAAUCAGCAGCAGGGCCUCCAAAACUGCAAUUCUCUCCGAAACCACCACGCUCAGAAUAUGGUGUAUACAGCUCAAGCUGGGGUGUAUCCACAAAUGUGUCCAAGAUGCAUGGCAGGAGAACCGGGUCACAUUAACCAUAUAAUGGGAUGCUGAACAGUUCAACCACUGAUUUUCGAAGAAACGUGGUGUAAUGGGGGAUAGAAUAACAUUUUGCUCACUUUAGUGCAGGUUUUUUGUGCCUUGCAGACAUAUAUAAUUGUUAAAACAAUAUAUUUUUUUAACCUAAGUACUUGCUCCAAGGGAAUGUUCUUGAAGUUUAUAUUGAGACACUCUUAUAUAGGACAAGGAUUUCUCAUAUAGGGUAAUUACCAAAGCACUUUGCCUGUUAGUGGCACCACAUUUAAUGGGACACAGUUUUUUUUUUCUUUCCUUGAAACAGUGUCUGGUGAGAUCAAGAGAUGAAUGAAAAUCACUUUUUGAAAUGUUUUUACAACAUUUUGAUAUACUAUGGAUUCCAUCCUGGUGUGUGUGUAUAUAUUUGUGGGUCUGUGUUUUUUAUGAUUAGUUUUUCAUUAAAAAAAAAAAAAUGUGAUUUAAAUGCAUAAUUACUUAUUAAUGCUUUGUUUUGGCGGGAAAGUAGUUUCCUGAAAUAGUUUUUUUUUUUUUUUCUUUCUGAUAUACAUACAAAGUAUGCAAAUAAUGUAGUAAAACAGAUUUUUUUUUAUUAAUUAGGUGUGUUAAGAUAUUUGGUAAAAAAAUAAAAUAAAAUCUGUUAAAUGUUUUGUUUUGUCAAUCCGGAUUGCUUCUCAGUCAAUUUUUGCAGUCUACAGUAAUUUGCCAUCUUUCUAAGUAAAGUUUCUGUGAAAAAUUAGUAAUCUUGGUCAAAGGUAAUUAUUUACCAGAGAUUUGCAAUGUCAGGUGCAUUCUGUCCUCCAGCAUGAAAUGAAUUUUUUAUUUGUAAUUUUCUAACAAAUAUUUGAAAUGCACAAUAAUGACUGAGUGAUGUCAGUCUUUUUUUUUUACAUCAAGUAACAGAAUCAGAACAUAAAGGGUUGUAAUGAAUUGUAACUUCAAUAUAUUUUCUGUAAAGCUCAUUUGAGUAAUAAAAAAUUUGCAUUGUG